Molecule: ribosomal RNA, 234 nt
Filed under: uncultured Actinomycetales bacterium
Lineage: Bacteria; Bacillati; Actinomycetota; Actinomycetes; Actinomycetales
Description: partial 16S ribosomal RNA
Rfam family: Bacterial small subunit ribosomal RNA
Source: RNAcentral
GGCGAACGGGUGAGUAACACUUGGGUGAUCUGCCCUGCACUCUGGGAUAAGCCUGGGAAACUGGGUCUAAUACCGGAUAGGACCAUGCUUUAGUGUGUGUGGUGGAAAGUUUUUUCGGUGUAGUAUGAGCCCGCGGCCUAUCAGCUUGUUGGUGGGGUAAUGGCCUACCAAGGCGGCGACGGGUAGCCGGACUGAGAGGUUGUUCGGCCACAUUGGGACUGAGAUACGGCCCAG